RNAcentral lists this long non-coding RNA (492 nucleotides) under Vigna radiata. Its description in RNAcentral is "long non-coding RNA (VRAD_LNC003351)". The record is from RNAcentral. Lineage: Eukaryota; Viridiplantae; Streptophyta; Magnoliopsida; Fabales; Fabaceae.
ACCAACCACCCUGGACGACCAGAUGGUUAGAUUAUAAAUGAUAAUAGCUCAUUGAAGUCCUUAAUGGAGGUUAAGGCGUGACUGAACCGUCAUCAGGCUCACGAAAAGUAAAAACUCAUUGCAGCUAAUAUAAAUAAAGGUCUCAGGUAUGACUUUUGGAUCACGUUGCACAUUAUGCACACCACAUGCAUCACUUAUAAUGAUAAUUGUUCGGUCAUUUUUACUGACUUGAGCGUCGGAGUGCCUUUGACAGGUACCCGCCCGCCCGACUUGGAAAAAAUGGAAGGAGAACGAAACCGUCCGGCCUACAGCGAAUCUGUUCAGUCUUCAAGAUCCGUUCAGUCUUAGAGACAAGGAAGAAGGUCCGUCAGGUCUUCAACCUGAAGCACUUUGAGUUACGUUUGUCCACUUUGAGUGUUCGUCCACCCUAAAAGGUGUCUGUCCGGUCUUAGAGUUAACAUGGACUGUUACAAACCAGGGAUCCUAGACUCG